CCACCACAGAUAACACAACGCGGCUGCGGACGACGCUCGGGUGCUCCACGGCGUGCUGACGAACCUCGGCCCCUCGACUGUCCCGACUGGCCUCUCGGAUACUUAGGCGGUCUUCUGAAAGAUUGCUGACCACUGCUCUCCGCUGCUGGUCUCUUUCCUUUGCCUCGAACCACCACGUCUCUUUUCUUCAUAAUUUCUGCCCCUUUCUCAACAAUCAAUGCCCGAUUCACCACAUCUCUGUAA
This 243-nucleotide long non-coding RNA is filed under the name Ananas comosus (pineapple). RNAcentral describes it as "long non-coding RNA (ACOM_LNC040807)". Lineage: Eukaryota; Viridiplantae; Streptophyta; Magnoliopsida; Poales; Bromeliaceae. The record is from RNAcentral.